CCUACGGGAGGCAGCAGUGGGGAAUCUUGCGCAAUGGGCGAAAGCCUGACGCAGCCAUGCCGCGUGAAUGAUGAAGGUCUUAGGAUUGUAAAAUUCUUUCACCGGGGACGAUAAUGACGGUACCCGGAGAAGAAGCCCCGGCUAACUUCGUGCCAGCAGCCGCGGUAAUACGAAGGGGGCUAGCGUUGCUCGGAAUUACUGGGCGUAAAGGGAGCGUAGGCGGACAUUUAAGUCAGGGGUGAAAUCCCGGGGCUCAACCUCGGAAUUGCCUUUGAUACUGGGUGUCUUGAGUAUGAGAGAGGUGUGUGGAACUCCGAGUGUAGAGGUGAAAUUCGUAGAUAUUCGGAAGAACCCCAGUGGCGAAGGCGACACACUGGCUCAUUACUGACGCUGAGGCUCGAAAGCGUGGGGAGCAAACAGGAUUAGAUACCCUGGUAGUCCACGCCGUAAACGAUGAUUGCUAGUUGUCGGGAUGCAUGCAUUUCGGUGACGCAGCUAACGCAUUAAGCAAUCCGCCUGGGGAGUACGGUCGCAAGAUUAAAACUCAAAUGAAUUGACGG
This 560-nucleotide ribosomal RNA is filed under the name uncultured bacterium. Its description in RNAcentral is "bacterial SSU rRNA". It matches the Rfam family "Bacterial small subunit ribosomal RNA", at positions 338 to 916 of the family's 1533-position model. The record is from RNAcentral.